UGGCAUAAGCCAGCUUGACUGCGAGCGUGACGGCGCGAGCAGGUGCGAAAGCAGGUCAUAGUGAUCCGGUGGUUCUGAAUGGAAGGGCCAUCGCUCAACGGAUAAAAGGUACUCCGGGGAUAACAGGCUGAUACCGCCCAAGAGUUCAUAUCGACGGCGGUGUUUGGCACCUCGAUGUCGGCUCAUCACAUCCUGGGGCUGAAGUAGGUCCCAAGGGUAUGGCUGUUCGCCAUUUAAAGUGGUACGCGAGCUGGGUUUAGAACGUCGUGAGACAGUUCGGUCCCUAUCUGCCGUGGGCGCUGGAGAACUGAGGGGGGCUGCUCCUAGUACGAGAGGACCGGAGUGGACGCAUCACUGGUGUUCGGGUUGUCAUGCCAAUGGCACUGCCCGGUGGCUAAAUGCGGAAGAGAUAAGUGCUGAAAGCAUCUAAGCACGAAACUUGCCCCGAGAUGAGUUCUCCCUGACCCUUUAAGGGUCCUGAAGGAACGUUGAAGACGACGACGUUGAUAGGCCGGGUGUGUAAGCGCAGCGAUGCGUUGAGCUAACCGGUACUAAUGAACCGUGAGGCUUAACCUUACAACGCCGAAGGUGUUU
RNAcentral lists this ribosomal RNA (594 nucleotides) under Escherichia coli. Its description in RNAcentral is "partial 23S ribosomal RNA". It matches the Rfam family "Bacterial large subunit ribosomal RNA", at positions 2355 to 2925 of the family's 2925-position model. Lineage: Bacteria; Pseudomonadati; Pseudomonadota; Gammaproteobacteria; Enterobacterales; Enterobacteriaceae. The record is from RNAcentral.